RNAcentral lists this ribosomal RNA (254 nucleotides) under uncultured bacterium. RNAcentral's name for it is "partial 16S ribosomal RNA". It matches the Rfam family "Bacterial small subunit ribosomal RNA", at positions 524 to 776 of the family's 1533-position model. The record is from RNAcentral.
GACGGAGGGGGCAAGCGUUGUUCGGAAUCAUUGGGCGUAAAGGGCUCGUAGGCGGACUUGUAAGUCUGGCGUGAAAUCUCCACCGCUCACCGGGGAGAGGUCGCUGGAUACUGCAAGUCUUGAGUUCGGUAGAGGAUUGUGGAAUUUCGGGUGUAGCGGUGGAAUGCGUAGAUAUCCGAAAGAACACCGGUGGCGAAGGCGGCAAUCUGGGCCUGAACUGACGCUGAGGAGCGAAAGCUAGGGGAGCAAACGGG